AUUGAACGCUGGCGGCAUGCCUUACACAUGCAAGUCGAACGGUAACAGGUUAAGCUGACGAGUGGCGAACGGGUGAGUAAUAUAUCGGAACGUGCCCAGUUGUGGGGGAUAACUGCUCGAAAGAGCAGCUAAUACCGCAUACGACCUGAGGGUGAAAGCGGGGGAUCGCAAGACCUCGCGCAAUUGGAGCGGCCGAUAUCAGAUUAGCUAGUUGGCGGGGUAAAAGCACACCAAGGCGACGAUCUGUAGCUGGUCUGAGAGGACGACCAGCCACACUGGGACUGAGACACGGCCCAGACUCCUACGGGAGGCAGCAGUUGGGAAUUUUGGACAAUGGACGCAAGUCUGAUCCAGCCAUGCCGCGUGCGGGAAGAAGGCCUUCGGGUUGUAAACCGCUUUUGUCAGGGAAGAAACGGCUCUUUCUAAUACAGAGAGAUAAUGACGGUAGCUGAAGAAUAAGCACCGGCUAACUACGUGCCAGCCGCCGCAGUAA
Molecule: ribosomal RNA, 493 nt
Filed under: uncultured bacterium
Lineage: Bacteria
Description: partial 16S ribosomal RNA
Rfam family: Bacterial small subunit ribosomal RNA
Source: RNAcentral